Molecule: ribosomal RNA, 547 nt
Filed under: uncultured eukaryote
Lineage: Eukaryota
Description: SSU rRNA
Rfam family: Eukaryotic small subunit ribosomal RNA
Source: RNAcentral
UGUAGUCAUAUGCUUGUCUCAAAGAUUAAGCCAUGCAUGUCUAAGUAUAAGCAAUUAUACAGCGAAACUGCGAAUGGCUCAUUAAAUCAGUUAUCGUUUAUUUGAUAGUACCUUACUACAUGGAUAACCGUGGUAAUUCUAGAGCUAAUACAUGCUAAAAACCCCAACUUCGGAAGGGGUGUAUUUAUUAGAUUAAAAACCAAUGCCCUUCGGGGCUCCCUGGUGAUUCAUAAUAACUUCUCGAAUCGCACGGCCUUGCGCCGGCGAUGGUUCAUUCAAAUUUCUGCCCUAUCAACUUUCGACAGCAGGGUCUUGGCCUGCCAUGGUGACAACGGGUAACGGAGGGUUAGGGCUCGACCCCGGAGAAGGAGCCUGAGAAACGGCUACUACAUCCAAGGAAGGCAGCAGGCGCGCAAAUUACCCAAUCCCGACUCGGGGAGGUAGUGACAAUAAAUACUGAUACAGGGCUCUUUUGGGUCUUGUAAUUGGAAUGAGUACAAUUUAAAUCCCUUAACGAGGAACAAUUGGAGGGCAAGUCUGGUAAUCG